CAAGUAAAAACUGCACACAGGUUUUCAUGCAAACACCAUAUGCAAUGCAUCAAUCAGACUGACCUCUGAGAAGUCCAGACAGCAGCUGGUACACAGCAAGCAGAAAAGCAGAGCAGCCUAUCUGCAAAGAAUGCAGAAUAGCUAAACAGGAAAAGAGGGGGGUGGUGGUCUGCUCUACUAUAAAAGCUGCUCAGGAGAAAGAAAAUGCUCUGAGCUGCAGUCACUGAACUUCCAACAGUCAAGAGCUGGAACAACAGGGUGAAGGACAGCUCUGUAAGUGAUACAUACUAUUUAUAAUCAGGGUGAAUACAACAGAAGACAGGGCAAUGAAAGGUGGAAAAAGUACAUUCUGGGCACGGAUCUCAACUUCUGCCCAGAACAUUCUGCUGCAGGAACCAAAACUGAUCCCUUCUCCCACUGAACUACAAAGGGAGAAAUUAAUCCUGAGAGCUACAGGGUGAAUGAAAAGGGCAAUCCUGGUUAUUUAUUCGUCCUCCCCACCACAUACACUUCCUCCGUUCCUGACUGUCUGGUGACCUGCUGGGAAAGCCUAUGGAAUAACCUCCUGCUGGCUCCUCUGGGGACAGCUGUAUCUAUUCACUGCUGGAUUCUGCAACUCGGGUAUCUGCCACGAGGGCCGCAGACCUCCAGGAUUUCAAGCUUUCUUCCACAGGCAGCAAAAACACUAAAGCCAAGAGGGCUGUGACACAGCCAGACACCACACAGAUGGAUUUUAAUUAUAUAUUUUACAAGCUUUGCUUUCAUAGAGAAUUUCAAUAUUUUCACUUUCCAACAGAUGUAGUUUUUCAAAAGUUGUGAGUUUCCUGCUUUUUAAUCAAUAAAUCAGAAGAUCUUCAGGAAUGAGCAUCAGUACAGUGCAGGUGAAAGUUCUGUCAAAGUACUCAACUAUCCUCAAGCUGCACUUGCUGUAACGUUAAUAGGUCAGAUUAACAGAAGAAAACCAUAGUUACCUUGCCUACAAACAGCCGGAGGGCAGCAAAGACAUGCUUGAGAGCUGCUGCUGACUGGUUGAUUUGCAAAAAGAGCAUGUGUGUGUCAAAGACCUUCUUCAUCAAUGCAUUCUGGCAAUCAGAUUGCUGGAGCUGCCUCUGAAAAGCACACAGAAGACAGAACAUGCUGGUUAUUUAAGGGAAUGAACAGAUGAUGACCUGCUGGACUUUGCAUUAAGAGUGCUCCUAGUGAGGUGUUUGUUUUUUUUCCUCCAGUGUCUGCUCUAAAAUCUCAGGGGAUGAGGCAGUCCCAGCUUGCUGCAGACAUGUUUCACGUGUAGUUUUCUAAAGGUAACACUUGACCUGUACUCCGACUUUUGCAUACACCAGAUUUAAGGGUGCUGAAGUGAGAUGCUAAAUCUGAAAGGACCUGCUUGCUCUUUUGUAGCUGUGAGACCUUUGAGAAGUCAUCUGGACUGACAUUAAUAGAAUGAUUUUUAAAGUGCAGAGGAUUCGCCUGCCAACUUGAGUGGAUACAGAUGAACACGAGUAAGAUGAGGUGACAUAUUAGUAGAUGAGCAACCCUUUCAUGCAGAGCAGAGCUGUAUAUAGCCUUGGAUAUGCAGGAUGCUCUGCUUCUCAUCUUUCUAUUCAAUCUGCAUACUGUGAGUCAUGAAAUACCCUCACUGAGGACUGUUAUCUUAUUUCCUGAUCUUGCUGUCUCAGACAUUUUGAGUCUUCUGUGUACCUGACCCUCGAGGUCUUUCCCCCACUGCAUAACUCACACGGCACCACUUCAAGCAGACAACAAAACAGCAAAACAUACCUGGUGGUUCAGAGUGUAAAGACACAACAGGUCAAGAAUUGUGAGGGAGACUUCUGUGGCAAUGUUUGCCUCUGUGUCCACGUAUUGUAUAAUGUCUGUUUCAUUCGAGCUGCCUACAACAUAUGAAGCAA
This 1907-nucleotide long non-coding RNA is filed under the name Gallus gallus (chicken). The record is from RNAcentral. Lineage: Eukaryota; Metazoa; Chordata; Aves; Galliformes; Phasianidae.